CAAGCCUGAUCCAGCAAUGCCGCGUGUGUGAAGAAGGCCUUCGGGUUGUAAAGCACUUUUAUCAGGAGCGAAAUCUGCAUGCUUAAUACGUGUGCAGUCUGACGGUACCUGAGGAAUAAGCACCGGCUAACUUCGUGCCAGCAGCCGCGGUAAUACA
This 157-nucleotide ribosomal RNA is filed under the name uncultured Rhodanobacter sp. Its description in RNAcentral is "partial 16S ribosomal RNA". It matches the Rfam family "Bacterial small subunit ribosomal RNA", at positions 378 to 527 of the family's 1533-position model. Lineage: Bacteria; Pseudomonadati; Pseudomonadota; Gammaproteobacteria; Lysobacterales; Rhodanobacteraceae. The record is from RNAcentral.